This 180-nucleotide unclassified non-coding RNA is filed under the name uncultured fungus. RNAcentral's name for it is "sequence contains ITS1". Lineage: Eukaryota; Fungi. The record is from RNAcentral.
CCGAGUGUGAACCCCCUCAUAAAAAGGGGGGUUACCUCCCGUCCUUUGCUAGGCACCCCCUCCAGUUGGAUGGGGGUUGUUUUUCAAACCCUUUUGCUUCGGCGAGGUAACUCGCCGGAACAACCUCAAAAUAUUCUCUGUUAAAACAGUUCAGUCCGAGGAAUAUUUUUGAAAAGCGAA